GAUGAACGCUGGCGGCGUGCCUAAUACAUGCAAGUCGAGCGAACGGACGAGAAGCUUGCUUCUCUGAUGUUAGCGGCGGACGGGUAAGUAACACGUGGAUAACCUACCUAUAAGACUGGGAUAACUUCGGGAAACCGGAGCUAAUACCGGAUAAUAUUUUGAACCGCAUGGUUCAAAAGUGAAAGACGGUCUUGCUGUCACUUAUAGAUGGAUCCGCGCUGCAUUAGCUAGUUGGUAAGGUAACGGCUUACCAAGGCAACGAUGCAUAGCCGACCUGAGAGGGUGAUCGGCCACACUGGAACUGAGACACGGUCCAGACUCCUACGGGAGGCAGCAGUAGGGAAUCUUCCGCAAUGGGCGAAAGCCUGACGGAGCAACGCCGCGUGAGUGAUGAAGGUCUUUGGAUCGUAAAACUCUGUUAUUAGGGAAGAACAUAUGUGUAAGUAACUGUGCACAUCUUGACGGUACCUAAUCAGAAAGCCACGGCUAACUACGUG
This 497-nucleotide ribosomal RNA is filed under the name uncultured bacterium. RNAcentral's name for it is "partial 16S ribosomal RNA". It matches the Rfam family "Bacterial small subunit ribosomal RNA", at positions 28 to 507 of the family's 1533-position model. The record is from RNAcentral.